Molecule: long non-coding RNA, 310 nt
Organism: Populus trichocarpa (black cottonwood)
Lineage: Eukaryota; Viridiplantae; Streptophyta; Magnoliopsida; Malpighiales; Salicaceae
Exons: 2
Source: RefSeq, a predicted model, not a curated record
AAACUGACAGGAGAAGAGAAGAAAAGGGGAGGAAGAAGAAGAGAAAAGAAGGAAAGAUAAGGGAAGGAGAAGAGAUUUGAAGGAAAUAAGUUUAAAGGUUCUUAGUUUCUGAUAGCAGGUGAACUUUGUUGAGUGUUCCUGCUUCAUCAGUUUUGGGUCGGUAUGCCUUGCUUAUCUUUCAAGGCUGUUUGAUUCGAUGUCUUAGGCGCUCCACUAUUACCUUGUUUUAAUUAAGUUUGGAUUUUGACAAUGUAAUGAGCAUUAUGAAUUAUUGUUUUUGUUUUAACUACUGAUGAGGAGUUUUAAACUA